Molecule: ribosomal RNA, 274 nt
Filed under: uncultured bacterium
Lineage: Bacteria
Description: partial 16S ribosomal RNA
Rfam family: Bacterial small subunit ribosomal RNA
Source: RNAcentral
AUACGGAGGGGGCUAGCGUUGUUCGGAAUUACUGGGCGUAAAGCGCGCGUAGGCGGAUUGGUUAGUUGGGGGUGAAAUCCCAGGGCUCAACCCUGGAACUGCCCUCAAUACUGCCAGUCUAGAGAUCGAGAGAGGUGAGUGGAAUUCCUAGUGUAGAGGUGAAAUUCGUAGAUAGUAGGAAGAACACCAGUGGCGAAGGCGGCUCACUGGCUCGAUACUGACGCUGAGGCGCGAAAGCGUGGGGAGCAAACAGGAUUAGAAACCCUAGUAGUCC